Long non-coding RNA from Crotalus tigris (Tiger rattlesnake), 2982 nucleotides. RefSeq lists it as uncharacterized. NCBI's taxonomy places the organism in Eukaryota, Metazoa, Chordata, Lepidosauria, Squamata, Viperidae. The transcript is spliced from 2 exons. The record is from RefSeq and is a predicted model, not a curated record.
GUGAAAGCAGGAGCAUCACAGCUGAAAAAUCCUCCUCGCUGCUCAUUUAUGAGAAUAUGGUCAUGAGUGAAGAAUCCUCAGUUAUCAUUUAGUUGGAACUGCAACUCAGUUCUGGAGAAAUCUCCCAGAGGGCUUGGAUCUGGGUAUCUUGUAGGCUGAUCUGUGAUCCCAACAGCAGACCAAGCUUGGUUCCUUGAAUGCAGAAUGUGGCCACAUGGGGACUUCCUUCUCCCACGGACCUCCUGGUGCAUCAGUCACCAGGCCAAAGGAGAAUUCCUCUACAAAAAUGCUGGCCUUCCUGCUUCUCAGCUUCAUCAACUUCAAAAUGAAAGCAAAGCUGACUUAUUUUACAGAACAGGUGCUGUCUUCCAGUUGCUAGGGGACCUGAGAAAGGCUACUGACAUCUGGUUUUCUGCCAUUAAUAGUAGCAAAUUAAGCCUUUUAGGGUAGGGAUAAAGGUUGCUUGGAGAAGACAGGAGAGAAUUGAAUGGCUAGUUCAAAAGAAAAGUUGGCAGCAGAUUUGCCAGCACGCAACAGAGAUAAAUACAAUUAGAUAGUAGUGUUUUAAAAUCUCUUGAUAAUUAUGCAUGACUGCCUGAGGACAAAUUGUUUGCUGUUUUGUUUCACAGACUGGCAUUUGGGCUUAUGGGGUAAUUAUGCCAUUAGCGAAAUAUUGACAUUUAGACAUUAAUGAAUUGGCCUGAUGGUUAUCUAUUAUUUACUUGUGCUUUGGAAUAUGAAUUCCUUUGCUGCUAUUUAUGGCUUGUGGCAAGGAUUUCUCAGGGAAAAUGCUUUUCUCCUGAUCCAUGAGGACUAGGAAGCUGUGACGCCUUAAAAGGACCAUUGAAACUAUCUGGAGAACUUUGCACUGGCUGCUGAUAAUGGUUGGUCUGGCUAUCAGGGUGAAUCUCUCUGUUCUUUUCCUAAUUGAAUUGAAAAAGUUUAGCCUUCCUUUCCCCAACUUUUUUGCCUCUUUAGAACCUAGAACCAAUAGGUUGCAAUGCUGGUUUGUUGCUAUGACAACAGUUCCAGGAAAAGUGCAAUGGUCUUUCCCAUCUAACAUAUAUAACCCCCAACGCUACCCUUUGGAGCAUCGCAGAAGCAUACCGUUCGUGCAAAGAGGAUGUUAAAACUAAUUCUUGUUCACAGGGUCAUUGAUUGGACAUUUUUGCUUCUCAACUUGGAAGCUUUAAGAUGUGAGGACUUCAACUCCCAUAAUUCCCCAGUCAGCAUUGGGGAUUUGGGGGAGUAUAACAGUCCUGGCCAUCUGGAGGGACCAGCUGGGAAGAGGUGCUUGAGUUUCUCACCCACAGCAACAUUAAAAUGUAUGGAUUUCAACUCCCAGAAUUCCUCAACCAGGGGAAUAAUAAAACUGCAUUCUUAGAAACCAUAAAACGAAGACUUUCCUGCAUUUACUGGAAGCUUAGAAGUAAAACAGCAUUCUUAGGAAACCCAGCAACAAAAAAAAAUUGUAAUAUUUUCCUGCCUUCAUUGAAUCAUUUUAAAAAAAUGACAUGGACUUUUGCAAACAAAGAAGUCAGGGAAGAAAAAAAAAAAUCCAGCAUUGCAAAGUGAAUUUUCCCUCUUUAUAAUCUUAGUAACUGUUUUUUUCCCCCUCCCCUCUUGUCUAUGCUGCUGACAUCAUAAUCUGUUGCCAUGGCACUGGGGGAACCAUCAGAAUAAUUUUGUUCAAGAGCAUAACCUUUCAGCAAGGUGAAUUCAGCAAAGUGGGACAGAGUGAGAAAGAAUUUGAAAAGUAGCAUCUCCGAACAUUGCAAGGACCGUUUUUUAAGAUGCUCAACCUCUCGUGUCUUGCCGUAAUCCUUUGGAAGGAAGGGACUACAGCGAGAGCAUCAAAUGUGGAUGUUAUUGAUCACAAAUGUAUUUUUUAGCAAAAUCCACCAGGGGAAAAGUGAGAUUUUUUAAAAAAGAAAGGAUUCCCCCCCCCUAAUUUGACUAUUUUUUUUUCCUCCCUAAUCCAAAAAGUAACUGUCCUUCUAAGUCGUAUUUAAGUCUCAGGUUAUAGAGGCUGAUAGUUUGUAGCUGAAGGUCUCCAUUUAAAGAUACAGCUCCCAACAAAACAGCUUAGCCCUGAUUCAUGGCUUAUGACUUGAGUGUCACUAAACUCCCCAAAGUUGAUGAUUAAAGUUUGGUUGCCACAAUAGAAAAAAGAUGUUGAAACUCUAGAAAGAAUGCAGAGAAUAGCAACAAAGAUGAUUAGGGGUCUGGAGGCUAAAACAUAUAAAAUCAGUUUGUUAGUUACUUAGAUUUUAGGCAGAAACUCUUAUUUGUUGUUCAUCCUGAUUGAUGGUUCUUAUUACACUUCCACACGCUGUCUUCAGUGCCCUGGUUAAUUAUUGAAUAUCAAUUUGAUUUUAAUAGAAGUUUUGAAAUGUUAAAUUGCGAUAGGAUCCCUUUCAUAUGCAGCACUAAUCUAAUGAGUUGCUGAACAUACUUACUCAUUUUUUUAUAGCCUAUCCAUCUCUUCCAUUUCUUUUUCUCUUUUUCUUUUUUAAAAUAGGUUUUAAAAGUUAAAAAAUCUAGAGCAAUGGGGAAAAAAAAGAACUAAUCAAUUAGCUGAUUGAUCACACCGUUACCAAGACUGGAUCUCUCAGGUUUAUUCUAGAUUCACUAAAGCCACUCUCAAUUUUGUUUUUGUUUUUAGAUUUCAGAAACAUGCUGCAAUUUCAGACAAGGACCAGCUACUUCUUCCUUCGCUCCAUGCAAAAACUCUUGAAUUCUUGGCUUAAUACAGAGGAUACACAAAAUGAAGCUUUUGGCUGGCCGAAGAACCUCCAGGUUUAUGAGUGAAAACCAAUGAAGGAAGCAACUAGCAUGGAAACCCUACGUGGAAGGAGGCUGAUCACCCAUUCCAACUCAAUUGCAGGUAGUCCUCGAUUUAUGACGGCAAACUGGGGUGACGAUUUCUGCUGCUGAGACAGGCAAUUGUGUUACUUACUGAUUAAAUUGAUUUCCCACCCA